GCACUUCGUGAUCAAUUCUAAUUCAAGUUGCUGGUGCAGAUUCCUCACAUACUUCGUUCCAAGUGCGUUCAGUUUGUACGUGUCGUGAGAUUCAUAUAAGUGAAAUGGCGAAAACGCGAUCCAAGUAUAUUUCAGUAGGUGAAAGAAAAAUGCGGGCGGCGGCGAAUGAAAAAAAAUUAGACUUUGUACUGAAUUCUCCCAAAAUUGAAACCGUUUACAAAGGAAAAAACAAAUGUGGUAACAAAAUGGCUGCCAAACCUCUUAACACUAGUCUUCAGUGUGCUUACUCUACCAAAAAGGAAAAAACAUUGGGAAAGGUAUCUUAAAAAAGCAAUCGAGCGUUGAUAUCAAGCCGAAUAAGAUUAAAGAUGUGAAUAUAAGAGCUUUACCUAAAUCGAAAAGUCGGGAUGCCAAGGUCCUCAAAAAAGAAAGCGAAGUGCUGGAAACCAAGUCGAGUGAAUCUUCUACUAUGCCUGAGGAGGAAUAUUGAGAAAAUAUGAACGGUUCCCUACAUGAAUUUACCGAACAUAAUAACUCUAUUGAAGAAAUAAUGACUGUUUUUGAUAGUGAUAUAGAAGCCGAAAAUAGUUCCGAAAACGACGAUGCCAGAAAAAUUGAAAAUAUGACAAAAAAAUCAAAGACUUGAAGGAAAAAAAUAUAAAAUUAAAAAAAGCUUACGAUAAAGCACUGGAAAGAAUAUUUAGAUUGACGGAUAUUCUUAUCUCGAAAGUUUGUGGAGAGCCGACCGAAAACGUAUUUACAGAAGUACCUGGGUUCCCGGAUAGAACUACAUUAAAAAGAUUUUUAGAAGCUGCAACAAGUGAUUUUGUUUUUGUUAAGCUCAUGAUGAAAGAGCUAUGGCCAAAUGGCUUGAAAAACAAGUCCGUAACCGGUCGUGCUUCAAACAACCCUUAUGGUUGGCCAUCGCGAAAACGGCCAUUAAAUCCACUCGUACAAAUUGAGCCACGCGAACAACUUCACCAGAAAAAGUCAAAUACAUUGGAGACCGUUUUAUACUUCCGGUUUCCGAAAAACAGCGGCAAAUGACCAAAUACCACCCAAUAUGCGUAUUUACGUAAUGUUUAUGAUGCACUGAAGCCACAAAUCGACCUAUCAACCUCAGACAACAUUUUGAAUUGUAAGAUGGCGACUUCCGGUGUCUGGAAAACAGCCGAAAAUGACCAAAUACCACCCAAUAUGAGUGUUUCUUUAACCAGAAUGACGCUCAAAAGCCAAAAACUGUCCCCUAAUGCCAUUUUAAAAUUCAAGAUGGCGACUUCCGGUUUCUGAAAAACAGCGGCAAAUGAUCAAAUACCACCCAAUAAAGGUAUUUCCGGAAUUGUUAUGACGCACUGAAGCCACAAAUCGACCUCAGACAACCUUUUUGAAUUGUAAGAUGGCGACUUCCGGUGUCUGGAAAACAGCUGAAAAUGGCCAAAUACCACCCAAUAUGAGCGUUUCUUUAACCAGAUUGACGCACGGAGGCCAGAAAUUGUUCCCAAAUGCAAAUCCAAGACGGCGACUUCCGGUUUCCAAAAAACAGCGGCAAAUCCAAAUACCACCCAAUAUGCGUUUUUACGGAAUUGUUAUGAUGCACUGAAGCCUCAAAUCGACCUCAGACAACAUUUUGAAUUGUAAGAUGGCGACUUCCGGUGUCUGCAAAACAGCCAAAAAUGACAAAAUACCACCCAAUAUGAGUGUUUCUUCAACCAGAAUGACGCUCAGGGGUCAGAAAUUGUCUCCAAAUGCCAUUUUAAAAUCCAAGAUGGCGACUCAUGGUUUCUGAAAAAUAGCCUGAAGUGGCCAAAUACCACCCAAUAUGUGUAUCACCGGAUCCAGAAUGAUGCAAGGAGCUAAAAAUUAACCUCAGAUACCAGUUUGAAUUGUAAAAUGGCAACUUUUGGGAAACAGCCGAUGUGUCCGUAAUUGAAAUGAUGUAAAGAAGCCAAGCAUUGACCCUGGACACCAUUUUGAAUUCGAAGAUGACCACUUUCAGUUCCUAAAAAACUACAAAAAUAACUGAAAUGCAUUCAAUAUAUUUCCGGAAUAGAGGUAAUGUACAAAAGCCAAAAGUCGAGGAUGUUGUCAUUCCGAUAAAACCAAUCAUUUCAAAUGAUAUAAACAAAUCGCAAGGAAUCAAUGAAUUUAAAUUGUUUCAAAUUAAUCAAUUGAACACUAAAGUAUGCGAGACGCAGUUUGCCGGGUCAGCUAGUGCUAGAAUAAAUCUUUUACCAUCUUUGGGUUCAGAAGACUCUGAAAAUAUAGAGCUUGGAAAUUGAAGAGCUAAGUUGAAACCUAC
Wyeomyia smithii (pitcher-plant mosquito) is the source of this 2299-nucleotide long non-coding RNA. RefSeq lists it as uncharacterized. The record is from RefSeq and is a predicted model, not a curated record. The transcript has 5 exons. Lineage: Eukaryota; Metazoa; Arthropoda; Insecta; Diptera; Culicidae.